CAAGGAUUUAGAAUGGAGAGAGGACUUAAUUGUCUAAUACCUCUGUCUGUCAGCUAAAGCUAUCUCCAGCCCCAAGACUUGGCCUCUUUACCCAAUUACCAACAUGGAGAAGAUGGGGAAGCUUCCAAUGAAAGAGGCAGCCCUUGUCUACCUUGACAGAAGUGGAGGCCUCCAAAAGUUUAUGGACGACUGCAAGUACUACAAUGAUUCAAAACAAAGCUAUGCUGUCUACCGGUUCAGUAUUUUAAUAAACCCCUGUGACGUUGUCGAAUUAGAUGCCGAACUUGGCAAUCACAUCUUACACCAUCCUUUAAAAGCCGCUCAAGUUUUCCAAUCAGUCUGCUUUGUUGCUGUUAAGACUCUCUCGUUAAUUGGAAAGUUACAGACUGAAACUCAAGUAAGUUUUGAUUAAAUAAGUUUUUUAAACUGAAGUAUAAAUCUUCAAAAUAACAAAAUAUUGUUUUCCCAGGAAUGAGUUAAUAAUAAAAGAGAAUAAAUUUUACAAAGUCCAA
RNAcentral lists this long non-coding RNA (512 nucleotides) under Rattus norvegicus (Norway rat). Its description in RNAcentral is "long non-coding RNA NONRATT023001". Lineage: Eukaryota; Metazoa; Chordata; Mammalia; Rodentia; Muridae. The record is from RNAcentral.